UAUGUGAUCGUCUCUCGCAUAUCAAUAAGCGGAGGAAAAGAAACUAACAAGGAUUCCCCUAGUAACGGCGAGUGAAGCGGGAAGAGCUCAAAUUUGAAAUCUUAAAGGGUUUCCCUUUACGAAUUGUAGUUUAAAGAAGUGUUUUCUGUUGAGGUUUUGGUAAAAGUUCUUUGGAAUAGGACAUCAUAGAGGGUGAGAAUCCCGUAUUUGACCUUUACUUUCAACUUUGUGAUACACUUUCAAAGAGUCGGAUUGUUUGGGAAUGCAGUCCAAAAUGGGUGGUAAAUUUCAUCUAAAGCUAAAUAUUGGCGAGAGACCGAUAGCGAACAAGUACCGUGAGGGAAAGAUGAAAAGAACUUUGAAAAGAGAGUUAAACAGUACGUGAAAUUGUCAAAAGGGAAGCGUUUGACACCAGUGUUGUUUUUCUGAAAAUCAAUUAAAGAACUGUUUAUGCUAAGUUGUUUAGACUUUAUCAGCUAACUGUUUAGUUUUGAGCUUUUCUUUAAUGCACUCUUCAGUUAACAAGUCAACAUCAAUUUCUUUUGCUGUAAAAAAGCUUGAGGAAGGUGGCUUGAGAUUCGUCUUAAGUGUUUAUAGCCUCUUGCCUAUGCAGUCGGAGAGAUUGAGGUCUGCCAGCGUAGAUCCUUCGGGGCUAAAUGCAUUUGUGCUAAGUUAUAGCAUUUUAUAGACAACUUGUUGACUAUGAUUUGUCUUGUAGCUUACUCGCUUAUGUUAUUUUACCUACGCUUAGGAUGUUGAAGACUCUACAGAGAUA
RNAcentral lists this ribosomal RNA (775 nucleotides) under uncultured Neocallimastigales. RNAcentral's name for it is "partial large subunit ribosomal RNA". It matches the Rfam family "Eukaryotic large subunit ribosomal RNA", at positions 24 to 633 of the family's 3401-position model. The record is from RNAcentral. Lineage: Eukaryota; Fungi; Neocallimastigomycota; Neocallimastigomycetes; Neocallimastigales.